GACCAGGCAGGUGCAAAGUACAGAGUCUGGAGUUGAGGGACAGGAGCCUCCUGCUAGCGUGUGUUAGCCGGGAGAAAACCUUGUAUUUGGCAAUGGCGGGGGCCAGUUACCAGCUGUUUAACGUGAGGGAGACUUGGCUUUCAUUUGGUUCAUUUGGUAACCCUCUAAGUGCACUGAGGAUCAGGGCCGGCUCUGCAAUUUGCGGGGCCCCGUGCACAAUGAAAUUGUGGGGCCCCUUGUUCAAAAAGUGAGAGUGAAGUACCUUUGACGGCGGUGAAAGAGGAUACCGUGCAGUGAAGAGAUGAGUGAUGGACUAAGAGAAGACCUGAAACUGACAAGAGAUUGUUAUGCAGAAUAUACAGGAUAAUAUAUCUUCAAAUUAAGAAUGAAAAAAAAAGAAGAACCCCAAAAAUGUGUAAAUAAAAUGAACAGGCAAUUCAGAAAAGGAUGAGUCUGGGUGCUUAAAAUAAUAUGAAGAGAUACUCAAUGCAUGGGUAAUCAGAGAAAUGCCAGAUUAACUAUAUUGUUCU
RNAcentral lists this long non-coding RNA (530 nucleotides) under Pan troglodytes (chimpanzee). Its description in RNAcentral is "long non-coding RNA NONPTRT010310". Lineage: Eukaryota; Metazoa; Chordata; Mammalia; Primates; Hominidae. The record is from RNAcentral.